RNAcentral lists this long non-coding RNA (251 nucleotides) under Homo sapiens (human). RNAcentral describes it as "HSALNT0306925". The record is from RNAcentral. Lineage: Eukaryota; Metazoa; Chordata; Mammalia; Primates; Hominidae.
AGGCUGCGCCCUGCUUAAUGCCUGAUGAUCUGAGGCAAAGUUGGACAUCCCAAAGAUGGCAUAGAUAAACAUGACCAGGAAGAGCAGGAGGCCGAUGUUAAACAACGCAGGAAGGGACAUCAUCAAAGCAAAGAGCAGCGUGCGGAUCCCCUUUGCUCCUUUGAUCAGACGUAGGAUUCGGCCAAUCCUGGCAAGACGGAUCACUCGGAACAAGACCCACCUAGGAUGCAUCACCUUUAUCUCUGGAAGCC